Molecule: RNA transcript, 842 nt
Organism: Phacochoerus africanus (Common warthog)
Lineage: Eukaryota; Metazoa; Chordata; Mammalia; Artiodactyla; Suidae
Gene name: 40S ribosomal protein SA-like
Exons: 2
Source: RefSeq, a predicted model, not a curated record
AUGUCUGGAGCCCUUGAUGUCCUGCAAAGGAAAAAGGAGAAUGUCCUCAAAUUCCUUGCAGUAGGAACCCACCUAGGUGGUACCAACUUUGACUUCCAAAUGGAACAGAAUACUGACUAGCAAGCUGUGCUGAAGUUUGCUGCUGCCACUGGAGCUGUUCCUGUCACUGGCCACUUCACUCCUGGAACCAUCACUAACCAGAUCCAGGCAGCCUUCUGGGAGCCAAGAUUUCUGGUGGUUACUGAUCCCAGGGGUGACCACCGGCCUCUCACAGAGAGACUUACGUUAACCUGCCUUCCAUUCCUCUGUGUAACACAGACUGCAUUAUGUGAACACUUUCAUCCCCUGCAACAACAAAGGAGCUCACUCAGUGGGUCUGAUGUGGUGGAUGCUAGCCCAGGAAGUUGUGCACAUUCAUGGCACCAUCUCCCAUAAACACUCACAGGAGGUUAUGCCUCAUCUCUUCUUCUCCAGAGAUCCAGAAGAGAUUGAAAAGGGAGAGCAGGCAGCAGCUAAGAAGACUGUGACCAAGGAGGAAUUUCAGGGUGAACUGACUGCUCCAGCUCCUGUGUUCACUGGUACUCAACCUGAGGUGGCAGACUGGUCUGAAGGCAUGCAGGUGCCCUCUGUGCCCAUCCAGCAGUUCCCUACUGAAGACUGGAGUGCUCAGCCCACCACUGAAGACUGGUCUGCAGCUCCCACUGCUCAGGCCACUGAAUGGGUAGGAACAACCACUGAGUGGUCUUAAGUUGUUCUUCCACAAACUCUUAAAAUGGAAAUUAGUUGAUGGAACAUAAGAUUUCUAAAAUUGAAAAAAAAAAUACUUUUUUUUUUCCUCUUUU